This 235-nucleotide long non-coding RNA is filed under the name Elaeis guineensis (African oil palm). RNAcentral's name for it is "long non-coding RNA (EGUI_LNC012188)". Lineage: Eukaryota; Viridiplantae; Streptophyta; Magnoliopsida; Arecales; Arecaceae. The record is from RNAcentral.
ACAAAGAUAAGAAAAGACUAAGUUUGUCCAAACGAGGUUGAAAAAAGCCAAACUUCGGCUAUGAAAAUUCCAACCAAAGCAGAACAACUUAGUGUGAGACACCCGAUCUCUGGAUUAGACCUCACAAAUGAUUAACAUGAGACACCUGAUCUCCAAAUUGGACCUCACGAUAUGGGAUAUCUGAUCUCCGGAUUAAAUCUCACAGAUAUUCAGUGUGAGAUAUCCGAUCUUCGGA